AGCGUAGGCGGUUCCUCAAGUCAGAUGUGAAAUCUUCUGACUCAAUCAGAAGGUGUCAUUUGAUACUGAGGGACUUGAGAGCAGCAGAGGGAAAUGGAAUUCCCGGUGUAGCGGUGAAAUGCGUAGAUAUCGGGAAGAACACCAGUGGCAAAGGCGAUUUCCCAGGUUGUUUCUGACGCUGAGGCUCGAAAGCGUGGGCAGCGAAGCGGAUUAGAUACCCGCGUAGUCCACGCCCUAAACGGUGGACACUAGAUAUAGGAGGUAUCGACCCUUUCUGUGUCGAAGCUAACGCUUUAAGUGUCCCGCCUGGGGAGUACGACCGCAAGGUUGAA
Molecule: ribosomal RNA, 332 nt
Filed under: uncultured bacterium
Lineage: Bacteria
Description: bacterial SSU rRNA
Rfam family: Bacterial small subunit ribosomal RNA
Source: RNAcentral